CCUCUCGAUGAUGAAGAAUUCACUUCGUAUAUCCUCGCUGGUUUGGACAGUGAUUAUGAACCGGUGGUUUCCUCUAUUGUUGGGCGAUCUGAGGGAGUCACAAUAUCUGAAGUUUACUCACAACUUCUUAGUUUUGAAG
This is a non-coding RNA of Oryza nivara, 139 nucleotides long. The record is from Rfam. NCBI's taxonomy places the organism in Eukaryota, Viridiplantae, Streptophyta, Magnoliopsida, Poales, Poaceae.